GAGGAAAAGAAACCAACAGGGAUUGCCUCAGUAACGGCGAGUGAAGCGGCAAAAGCUCAAAUUUGAAAUCUGGCCCCCCCCGCGGGGGUCCGAGUUGUAAUUUGCAGAGGAUGCUUUGGGCGCGGCGCCUUCCGAGUGCCUUGGAACAGGUCGCCUCAGAGGGUGAGAGCCCCGUACGGUUGGACGCCUAGCCCGUGUAAAGCUCCUUCAACGAGUCGAGUAGUUUGGGAAUGCUGCUCAAAAUGGGAGGUAAAUUCCUUCUAAAGCUAAAUACUGGCCAGAGACCGAUAGCGCACAAGUAGAGUGAUCGAAAGGUGAAAAGCACUUUGAAAAGAGAGUCAAAUAGCACGUGAAAUUGUUAAAAGGGAAGCGUCUGCGACCAGACGCGCCGCCCGCGGCUCACCCGGCGCCUCGGCGCCGGGGCACGCCGCGGGCGUCGGGCCAGCAUCGGCUCUGCCGUGGGUACAAGGACCGCGGGAACGUAGCUCCCUCGUGGAGUGUUAUAGCCCGCGGCACCAUGCCCGCGGCGGGGCCGAGGACCGCGCCCGCAAGGGCAAGGAUGCUGGCGUAAUGGCCGCCGGCGACCCGUCUUGAAACACGGACCAAGGAGUCAAGCAGUGGGGCGAGUGUACGGGUGCCAAACCCGCGCGCGAAAUGAAAGUAAACGCAGGUGGGAGCCUCCGGGCGCACCACCGACCGAUCCUGACGUUCUCUGAUGGAUUUGAGUAGGAGCCCUACUGCUUGGACCCGAAAGAUGGUGAACUAUGCCUGUAUAGGGUGAAGCCAGAGGAAACUCUGGUGGAGGCUCGCAGCGG
Molecule: ribosomal RNA, 815 nt
Filed under: Raffaelea arxii
Lineage: Eukaryota; Fungi; Ascomycota; Sordariomycetes; Ophiostomatales; Ophiostomataceae
Description: eukaryotic LSU rRNA
Rfam family: Eukaryotic large subunit ribosomal RNA
Source: RNAcentral